Molecule: ribosomal RNA, 434 nt
Filed under: uncultured bacterium
Lineage: Bacteria
Description: partial 16S ribosomal RNA
Rfam family: Bacterial small subunit ribosomal RNA
Source: RNAcentral
AGCGAACGCUGGCGGCAGGCCUAACACAUGCAAGUCGAACGAACCUUUCGGGGUUAGUGGCGGACGGGUGAGUAACACGUGGGAACGUGCCUUUAGGUUCGGAAUAACUCAGGGAAACUUGUGCUAAUACCGAAUGUGCCCUUCGGGGGAAAGAUUUAUCGCCUUUAGAGCGGCCCGCGUCUGAUUAGCUAGUUGGUUGAGGUAAUGGCUCACCAAGGCGACGAUCAGUAGCUGGUCUGAGAGGAUGAUCAGCCACACUGGGACUGAGACACGGCCCAAACUCCUACGGGAGGCAGCAGUGGGGAAUCUUGCGCAAUGGGCGAAAGCCUGACGCAGCCAUGCCGCGUGAAUGAUGAAGGUCUUAGGAUUGUAAAAUUCUUUCACCGGGGACGAUAAUGACGGUACCCGGAGAAGAAGCCCCGGCUAACUUCGUG